This 3174-nucleotide ribosomal RNA is filed under the name Microbacterium bovistercoris. RNAcentral's name for it is "bacterial LSU rRNA". It matches the Rfam family "Bacterial large subunit ribosomal RNA". Lineage: Bacteria; Bacillati; Actinomycetota; Actinomycetes; Micrococcales; Microbacteriaceae. The record is from RNAcentral.
UUCAAGUCUUUAAGAGCAAACGGUGGAUGCCUUGGCAUCUGGAGCCGAAGAAGGACGUAGCAAUCUGCGAUAAGCCUCGGGGAACUGAUAAGCGAGUUUUGAUCCGAGGGUGUCCGAAUGGGGAAACCCCGCCAGGCGUUUGUGCGACCUGGUGACUCCCGCCUGAAUAUAUAGGGCGGGUAGAGGGAACGCGGGGAAGUGAAACAUCUCAGUACCCGCAGGAAGAGAAAACAACAUGUGAUUCCGUGAGUAGUGGCGAGCGAAAGCGGAUGAGGCUAAACCGGGUGUGUGUGAUAGCCGGCAGGCGUUGCAUGCCCGGGGUUGUGGGACCCUCCGUGCUGUUCUGCCGAACAGUGGACGUGAUGCGCGAGUGUAGACGAACGGUCUUGAAAGGCCGGCCAUAGUGGGUGCCAGCCCCGUAGUCGAAAUGCUUGGUGCAGCGUGGAGGGGAUCCCAAGUAGCACGGGGCCCGUGAAAUCCCGUGUGAAUCUGUCAGGACCACCUGAUAAGCCUAAAUACUCCCAGAUGACCGAUAGCGGACAAGUACCGUGAGGGAAAGGUGAAAAGUACCCCGGGAGGGGAGUGAAAUAGUACCUGAAACCGUUUGCUUACAAACCGUUGGAGCCUCCUUAGUAGGGGUGACAGCGUGCCUUUUGAAGAAUGAGCCUGCGAGUUAGUGAUAUGUGGCGAGGUUAACCCGUGUGGGGUAGCCGUAGCGAAAGCGAGUCUGAAUAGGGCGAUUCAGUCGCAUGUCCUAGACCCGAAGCGAAGUGAUCUAUCCAUGGCCAGGCUGAAGCGACGGUAAGACGUCGUGGAGGGCCGAACCCACUUAGGUUGAAAACUGAGGGGAUGAGCUGUGGAUAGGGGUGAAAGGCCAAUCAAACUUCGUGAUAGCUGGUUCUCUCCGAAAUGCAUUUAGGUGCAGCGUUGCGUGUUUCUUGCCGGAGGUAGAGCUACUGGAUGGCCGAUGGGCCCGACCAGGUUACUGACGUCAGCCAAACUCCGAAUGCCGGUAAGUGAGAGCGCAGCAGUGAGACUGUGGGGGAUAAGCUUCAUAGUCGAGAGGGAAACAACCCAGACCACCAUCUAAGGUCCCUAAGCGCGUGCUAAGUGGAAAAGGAUGUGGAGUUGCUUAGACAACCAGGAGGUUGGCUUAGAAGCAGCCACCCUUGAAAGAGUGCGUAAUAGCUCACUGGUCAAGUGAUUCCGCGCCGACAAUGUAACGGGGCUCAAGCACGCCACCGAAGUUGUGGCAUUGACAUUUUUGGUAGGCCUUCGUGGUCCAGCCGUGUUGAUGGGUAGGAGAGCGUCGUGUGGCGGGUGAAGCGGCGGAGUGAUCCAGCCGUGGAUGCCACACGAGUGAGAAUGCAGGCAUGAGUAGCGAAAGACGUGUGAGAAACACGUCCUCCGGAAGACCAAGGGUUCCAGGGUCAAGCUAAUCUUCCCUGGGUAAGUCGGGACCUAAGGCGAGGCCGACAGGCGUAGUCGAUGGACAACGGGUUGAUAUUCCCGUACCGGCGAAGAACCGCCCACACGAAGUCAGGAGUGCUAACCGUCCGAAGUCACCCACCGGACCCUUCGGGGUUCAUCGGGUGAUGGAGCACGGGACCCCAUCUGGUGGAGUGAGCGUAUUAACAGGUGUGACGCAGGAAGGUAGCCCAUGCCAGGCGAUGGUUGUCCUGGUGCAAGUGCGUAGGCCGAGAGAUAGGCAAAUCCGUCUCUCAUGCAGGCUGAGACACGAUGCGGAUGAAAAGUGGGUGAUCCUAUGCUGCCGAGAAAAGCAUCGACGCGAGGUUCCAGCCGCCCGUACCCCAAACCGACUCAGGUGGUCAGGUAGAGAAUACCAAGGAGAUCGAGAGAAUCGUGGUUAAGGAACUCGGCAAANCGACUCAGGUGGUCAGGUAGAGAAUACCAAGGAGAUCGAGAGAAUCGUGGUUAAGGAACUCGGCAAAAUGCCCCCGUAACUUCGGGAGAAGGGGGGCCAUCCACUUAUACGGACUUGCUCCGGAAAGGGUGUGGUGGCCGCAGAGACUAGUGGGUAGCGACUGUUUACUAAAAACACAGGUCCGUGCGAAGACGCAAGUCGAUGUAUACGGACUGACGCCUGCCCGGUGCUGGAAGGUUAAGAGGACCGGUUAGCCCUUUUGGGCGAAGCUGAGAAUUUAAGCCCCAGUAAACGGCGGUGGUAACUAUAACCAUCCUAAGGUAGCGAAAUUCCUUGUCGGGUAAGUUCCGACCUGCACGAAUGGCGUAACGACUUCCCAACUGUCUCAACCGCGAACUCGGCGAAAUUGCAUUACGAGUAAAGAUGCUCGUUACGCGCAGCAGGACGGAAAGACCCCGUGACCUUUACUACAGCUUGGUAUUGGUGUUCGGUGUGGCUUGUGUAGGAUAGGUGGGAGACUGUGAAACCAUGACGCCAGUUAUGGUGGAGUCAUUGUUGAAAUACCACUCUGGUCACUCUGGAUAUCUAACUUCGAACCGUGAUCCGGUUCAGGGACAGUGCCUGGUGGGUAGUUUAACUGGGGCGGUUGCCUCCCAAAAAGUAACGGAGGCGCCCAAAGGUUCCCUCAACCUGGUUGGCAAUCAGGUGGCGAGUGUAAGUGCACAAGGGAGCUUGACUGUGAGACUGACAGGUCGAGCAGGGACGAAAGUCGGGACUAGUGAUCCGGCAGUGGCUUGUGGAAGCGCUGUCGCUCAACGGAUAAAAGGUACCUCGGGGAUAACAGGCUGAUCUUGCCCAAGAGUCCAUAUCGACGGCAUGGUUUGGCACCUCGAUGUCGGCUCGUCGCAUCCUGGGGCUGGAGUAGGUCCCAAGGGUUGGGCUGUUCGCCCAUUAAAGCGGUACGCGAGCUGGGUUUAGAACGUCGUGAGACAGUUCGGUCCCUAUCCGCUGCGCGCGUAGGAAGUUUGAGAGGAUCUGACCCUAGUACGAGAGGACCGGGUUGGACGAACCUCUGGUGUGCCAGUUGUUCCGCCAGGAGCACCGCUGGUUAGCUACGUUCGGGAUGGAUAACCGCUGAAAGCAUCUAAGCGGGAAGCCGGCCUCAAGAUGAGACUUCCAUACCUUCGGGUGAGAGGCUCCCAGCCAGACUACUGGGUUGAUAGGCCAGAUGUGGAAGCACGGCAACGUGUGCAGCUGACUGGUACUAAUAAGCCGACGACUUGAUAACA